AUUGGCUGAGGCGCAGCGCGCGGGAGCGGCGGUUAGCAGCCGGCUCGGGCCGCCCGGCUGUCCCGUCAGACGGCGCCGCUCCCUCAGCCCGGCCCCGCCGCUGCAGCCGCUGUUCGCCAGAGCUGUCCGGGCAGCACCGAGACGGAGGCGCGGCACAACGAAAGCGGUGCUGAGGACAGCGGCGCCGGAGGUGUGCGGGAGAACGGCUCCGGGCCGGGGCCGGGGCCGGGGCCGGGGCGAGGAACCGUAUGAGGCCCGAACCGCCAGGCCCCGCCCCGCCCUCCCCUCCCCUCCGCCGUGGGAUGCGGGGAUUUAGGACGGCUGAAGGACUCGGGGCCCCCACCGCCGCAGUGCUGCUGCCCGCAUCCGGGCCGGGCCCCCCCGAGCCUCCAGCGCUGCUCCCGGUGCCCCCCGGAGCUGAGGCACAGGUAUUGUUUAACAAGUGCCUUUGGAGAAGUUUUCAGUAUCCAGUCUCCUGAUCAGGAAGAAAGAAGAAAGUUUUUGGAGGACUUAAUCAUGAGUGGAGCUGCUGCUGAAGCUCCACUUCAAACAAGCAAGCUGGUGAGGACGUUGUGCAUCUCAGCCUUUCCUCACUGCAAGGCUGGGCAGACACGGGCAGCACUGCCUGCAGCAGCACCAGCUGAGCUCUGUGUGCCAGAGGAAGGAAUGCGGCGUCUGGAGGAGCAGGAGGAGGAGACCCUGCGUGACUCUGCGGGGCCGUUCCUCACAGCCUGCCACUGACAGACGUAGUGGGGCACUGCAGAGCCCGUUGGUGCGGAGGAGGUUUGUUCUGGAGGUCCUGAUGACGGCACAGGCAUGAAGCAGCCCAGAGCUCGUCGGUGUGGAGAGACUGCGUAUUGUGUUGUGAAGGGAGAGACGGAGGAGGGGUUUGAACAGCAUUGCGCAGGAAUGAAAGAAGCUGGUAAGAGAAGAGGCUGCGGCACUUCAAAGUGUGCUAUGGACGGGCAGCACGUUGACAACCCAAGGGUGGCACCAGGAGAUGCAGCGCAGCCCUCUCCAGCAGCAGGGUGCAUUUAUUCGUCUUGCUAAUUCUUGAAGUAGAAGGCAGGAGACGGGCAGCGGUACUACAGCUCGUCUGCGACUUUGAAGCUAAGUUGGGAAGUGGAAGAUGUGGAUGUGAAAGAAGAACUCAGUUACUGGGACGCUCCCUUCUCUUCCCCUAGCUGUCCCCUUGCCUCAGCCCGGGUUCCCCUUGCAUUCCUGUAGGUUUCCCUUCCAUCCCCCUGGCUGCCCUGUGCUUUCCCCAAGGUUGCCCUUUCCUUUCCCAUGACAGCCCACCCAUAAUUCCCUCAGCGCCCCAAUAGCCCCCUCAAUAUUUCCCAUUCAAGAACCUGUAGCUACCCCACGACCCCCACAGAGCCCCAUAGGCCCUCGAGGACCUCUUCAGGCCUGGUACACCUUCCCCAUAGCUGGCCCAAAACCUCACAGAAACACAUAGUCUGUUACAGUACCCCAUUUUCCUGCUGGGCUCCCACUGAACCCCCAUGUUUCCUCCCUAAGACCUGCCUUACCACAUCCAGGACCCCCCUGAGAUCUUCCAGACCCUACAGUUCCUUAGAGGACCCCGUCACUAUUCCAGGACCCCCAUAGCUGACCCUCCUCAACCCCAUUUCCCUCCAGAUCCCAUAUCACCACACAGUGCUGGGGCAGGAUCGGCUGCUGCAGGAAAGGAAUGCGGAGCAGGGGGAGGUGUAGGGCACAGAUGUUGGUGAAAGAGACGUGGGGGGUACUGGGAAGAUGGAUACACGGUAACGUGGGAGUAUUUGGGGAUAUGGGCCAAUAUGGGCCUGCAGGAGGAGAAUGCUGUGCAGAAGAAGGCAAUGUGUGAGGUGCUCCAACACCGCCCCGCCCCCCCCCUUUUUACCCGUAACUUCUCCCCACAUCCCCCCGUC
This is a long non-coding RNA of Gallus gallus (chicken), 1913 nucleotides long. RefSeq lists it as uncharacterized. The transcript has 6 exons. The record is from RefSeq and is a predicted model, not a curated record. Lineage: Eukaryota; Metazoa; Chordata; Aves; Galliformes; Phasianidae.